CCUGAUUGGAUUGACUGCAUUCUUUCCUCAGUCCCUUCUCGCUGCCCCUUUGGUGUAUUUGUAUAUGACUUGCAAUUGAAGUCCCUUUAUUUAUUUUUCUUUUUUUNAAAAAAACACACACACACACCCACUUAAUCCCCCACAGACACCUCCAUCCUCAUGAUUUAGAGCGGUAACAGAAGUUGCAGUUGGGAGGUAGCACAAAUUUUGUGCUUUCCCAUCUGUUCUGAUACAAAAAGAAGUCAGAGAGUAUCUGGACACUGUCAGAGUGUUGUAGCAUAUAUCUCAAAGUGACUUUGUUAUAAAAAAGGAGUUUAAUCUCACCUCCUCCUCUUCCCCUCUCUGCGUAACCUUGUGAAAUUUCCACAUUAAAAAGCAAUCACAUCUUUCAAACCAGAAAUGAUUGUAUUUGGCAACAUGGCGGGAACUCCCUAGUGUGCUGGUCAGAGCUUGUUUUCACUAAAACAAAAUCAACUUUCAAAAUAAAUCAUCUACCUCAACAUUAUAUUUCCCAAAUCUUAUAAUCCUAUUAACAGGGGUUGGAUGUUUUGCUUUUUUUCUUUCCUUCAUUGCCACUGGGCUGACACAAUUGGCCAGCUUUCAAUAGUAAGAAAACAGAAAGUCAGUUGAAAAGAGUUUUAGCCAAAACAUGCAGUGAAAGACCUAACUUUUGCCCAGCCAGGCCUUGUGGUUAAAGAGCCCUUAAUGACUAUUGUAAGCCCUUAAAUAUAAUCAUCUGUAUUUCACCUCCAUCUAAUGUACUGCCUGUGUAACGUGUUUAUAUGUUCAGACAGCAGCUUGAAAGUCUCAACAAAUAACUCUGUGAGAAGUGCUGGAGGGCAACAAGGUCACCAUGGCAAUUUCUGUGAAUGAGGCUUCUAUCAAAAUUGCAGAAGGAUGCCAAUAUGCUCAGCGAAGCUGUGUCCAGAAUUAACCUCAGCAAAGUCUCAUUGCCAGAAGUGGAAAUGAUGUGGAUGCAAUGGAAUUCUGGAUCCCUUAAACAGAUACAGUAAUCACUAUGGAUUUGUUAUUAGAUGCUGAAUUUAGUAGAAGGAUGAAGAAAUGCCUUUUCAUAUGCUUGAUUUAAAGGCUAAUGAACUGUUUUUGAUGCUGAAGCCAUAGCAUGUGUGUAUAUGUGUGUAUACCAUUUUUAUUAACUUCUACUUUCAUCUUUUAGUAUACAUAAACAUAAUUUUUCUUGAGUCUUUUUUUUNNAAAAAAUCUUAAAUGUUGAGUUCUACUUAGAUAAGUAGAUAAAUAAAUUCACAGAAAUAUUUAAGUCUGUAAAUAAA
Molecule: long non-coding RNA, 1292 nt
Organism: Salvator merianae (Argentine black and white tegu)
Lineage: Eukaryota; Metazoa; Chordata; Lepidosauria; Squamata; Teiidae
Source: Ensembl